UCAACGUUUCGGGCAUAAGCCCUUCCUGAAGAAGGGCUUAUGCCCGAAACGUCGAUUCUCCUGUUCCAUAUAUAGACAGGGCCAGUGAAUCAGUAUAAAGAAAGCUUGACUAUGGAACAGUGGCUAAAAUGCUUAGCAGUGAUAAUGCUUAGACGUGGAAAAGUGACAGAAUGCUAGACAUUAAAAUGAGUUAACUAUGCCAAUAGCGUGAGGAUCUCUCUGAAGCACAAGUUAAAUGUUUAGAGAUUCUCUUCUCUUUAUAUACUUCAUAAUCUACAAGCUCUACAUCCAUUUGCAACCUACCUUUCCUCCUUCGUCAAACCAGACUAAAGUCAAUCUUGAUCAAGUUCAUGAUCUCCUCUUGCUUCUCCCUUGGCAUUAGCCAACAUGUAACAAGCCCUGGAGCGAGAGGGGAUAGAAUUCUACAUGUGGUCUCAGAAAAUGAAGCUGGGCAAGUAGAUGAAUUUGCAGUACAUGACCACUUUGAAGAUGGUGAAAAUAAUUAGAUCUAGCAUUGUUAUGGAAAGAAAUAAAGAACAAGAGUAAAAGUUCUAGAUUGUGGGUGGGUAAGUAUUUUGAAGCUGAGGGGGUGAUCUGGCAAAUAUAGACUUGAUACAGCUACUUGAAGGAAAAUUGGUGACAUACCAUUGAGAAGCAAUCAAAAGCCAGGUUCUGUGAUCACACUGUAGACAUGUACCCACAAAAAAAGACUGGCACUGCCAAAUUUGGAGCCUCAUGAUUGUCCAGAAGCAUACAGGAUAAGGUAAAGAAAGGGAAAAAAAAUUGCUGUACAAAGUAUGGGGUGAGUGACAUCUAAGUGAGAUUUGGAAAACAAGGAAAGGAUAUGACCAUAUUGGCAGGUCAUGGAGAGCCCAAAGAUGCUGCCUCAGUACACUAAGAGCAGGAGGAUAACUUAAGUAGGGCCCAUCACUGAUUUACAAUAUGACUUAGCUGUGCAAGAUGUGUGCCAGGUUCUUGAUGACUAUGUUGUUUCUAGCCUCAUAAAGAGGGGUGAUGCAUACUUUCUUGUGAAAGGGCAGUGUGAAAUAUUAGGUACUAUUUGUAUACUGU
Chiloscyllium plagiosum (whitespotted bambooshark) is the source of this 1071-nucleotide non-coding RNA. Lineage: Eukaryota; Metazoa; Chordata; Chondrichthyes; Orectolobiformes; Hemiscylliidae. The record is from RefSeq and is a predicted model, not a curated record.